Molecule: non-coding RNA, 618 nt
Organism: Equus caballus (horse)
Lineage: Eukaryota; Metazoa; Chordata; Mammalia; Perissodactyla; Equidae
Source: RefSeq, a predicted model, not a curated record
AACCGAACAAGUAAAGAAAGAAAGAGUGUUUUUGAAGCUGAGCCUGGCUGUAGCCGGAGAAUUUUGGCGUUUCCUUGAUGAGACUCAACCAGUGCUCGAUGGACGCUCACUCUGACUCUCACAGCAACCACAUGAAGUGUUGUAACAACAGAGGUGAAUUGAGAGAAUCAGGUGAAUUUAUACGCAGGAAAAGCUCGCGCCGUUCUGGUGCCCAGGUCUGUGAGUUCUCACGGGCACCGUCGUCGUCGCGUGACCACCACCGCCGUGGAGAUCCAGAACGCCUCCAUGGCCCCGAAGCUCUGCUUGUGCCACCGCGUGAUCAGACUCUGUCCCCAGGCGCAGACGGUGUCCCCUGGCCUGGGUUCUGCCGCUGAAGUUGUGCCUCUUCCAGGGUGUCGCACAGCGGCAUCGGCCGCCUGCAGCUCCUGGCUCCCAGGUGCCUUCACUCCGCAGAGCGCAGAGGAACCUGGUCCCUGCUGUUGCGUCUGUCGCUGCUCUGUUCCUUCCUGUUGCUGGGUCAGCCUGUGGUGUGGACCCACCACAGUGUAUUUAUCCACACCCACACAUUCGGGCUGUUUCCGGUUUGGGGCAAUUGUUAAUAAAGCCACUAUAAACAUU